GUGCGUGUAGUUUAAUGGCAGAACAUCAGACUUCCAAUCUGAUGGCGGGAGUUCGAUUCUCCUCACGCGCUCCA
Molecule: transfer RNA, 74 nt
Filed under: Caudoviricetes sp.
Lineage: Duplodnaviria; Heunggongvirae; Uroviricota; Caudoviricetes
Description: tRNA-Gly
Rfam family: tRNA
About the family: Transfer RNA (tRNA) molecules are approximately 80 nucleotides in length. Their secondary structure includes four short double-helical elements and three loops (D, anti-codon, and T loops).
Source: RNAcentral